GCAAGUCGAGGGGUAACAGGGGAGCUUGCUCCUGCUGACGACCGGCGCACGGGUGAGUAACGUGUAUGCAACUUGCCUCACACAGGAGGAUAGCCUUUGGAAACGAAGAUUAAUACUCCAUAGUAUCUAUUGCUGGCAUCAGUGAUAGAUUAACAUUUAUGGGUGUGAGAUAGGCAUGCAUUAGAUUAGCUAGUUGGUAAGGUAACGGCUUACCAAGGCUACGAUCUAUAGGGGUCCUGAGAGGGAGAUC
This 250-nucleotide ribosomal RNA is filed under the name uncultured bacterium. RNAcentral's name for it is "partial 16S ribosomal RNA". It matches the Rfam family "Bacterial small subunit ribosomal RNA", at positions 57 to 305 of the family's 1533-position model. The record is from RNAcentral.